This is a long non-coding RNA of Amblyraja radiata (thorny skate), 105 nucleotides long. RefSeq lists it as uncharacterized. Lineage: Eukaryota; Metazoa; Chordata; Chondrichthyes; Rajiformes; Rajidae. The record is from RefSeq and is a predicted model, not a curated record. The transcript is spliced from 3 exons.
CUGCAGAUGCUGCAAAGAAGGACACAAACUGCCAGAGUAACUCGGUGGGUCGGGCAGCAUCUCUGGAGAACAUGGAUCGGUGACCUUCUGGGUCAAGACCCUACU